Diatrype stigma is the source of this 92-nucleotide non-coding RNA. Lineage: Eukaryota; Fungi; Ascomycota; Sordariomycetes; Xylariales; Diatrypaceae. The record is from the annotation of a GenBank genome assembly.
GCUGGCGUGGUCUAAUGGUUAUGAUUUCUCGUUCACAUGAUGUGUUCUAAACUACCCCGAGAAGGUUCCGCGUUCGAUCCGCGGCGCUAGUA